This 1432-nucleotide ribosomal RNA is filed under the name Cylindrospermopsis raciborskii FAS-C1. RNAcentral describes it as "bacterial SSU rRNA". It matches the Rfam family "Bacterial small subunit ribosomal RNA". Lineage: Bacteria; Bacillati; Cyanobacteriota; Cyanophyceae; Nostocales; Aphanizomenonaceae. The record is from RNAcentral.
GAUGAACGCUGGCGGUAUGCUUAACACAUGCAAGUCGAACGGGAUGCUUAGGCAUCUAGUGGCGGACGGGUGAGUAACGCGUGAGAAUCUGGCUCCAGGUCGGGGAUAACAGUUGGAAACGACUGCUAAUACCGGAUGUGCCGAGAGGUGAAAGAUUUAUUGCCUGGAGAUGAGCUCGCGUCUGAUUAGCUAGUUGGCGGUGUAAGGGACCACCAAGGCGUCGAUCAGUAGCUGGUCUGAGAGGAUGAUCAGCCACACUGGGACUGAGACACGGCCCAGACUCCUACGGGAGGCAGCAGUGGGGAAUUUUCCGCAAUGGGCGAAAGCCUGACGGAGCAAUACCGCGUGAGGGAGGAAGGCUCUUGGGUCGUAAACCUCUUUUCUCAAGGAAGAAGAAAGUGACGGUACUUGAGGAAUAAGCAUCGGCUAACUCCGUGCCAGCAGCCGCGGUAAUACGGAGGAUGCAAGCGUUAUCCGGAAUGAUUGGGCGUAAAGGGUCUGCAGGUGGAACUGAAAGUCUGCUGUUAAAGAGUUUGGCUUAACCAAAUAAAAGCGGUGGAAACUACAGAACUAGAGUGCGGUAGGGGCAAAAGGAAUUCCUGGUGUAGCGGUGAAAUGCGUAGAUAUCAGGAAGAACACCGGUGGCGAAAGCGUUUUGCUAGACCGUAACUGACACUGAGGGACGAAAGCUAGGGGAGCGAAUGGGAUUAGAUACCCCAGUAGUCCUAGCCGUAAACGAUGGAUACUAGGCGUGGCUUGUAUCGACCCGAGCCGUGCCGGAGCUAACGCGUUAAGUAUCCCGCCUGGGGAGUACGCACGCAAGUGUGAAACUCAAAGGAAUUGACGGGGGCCCGCACAAGCGGUGGAGUAUGUGGUUUAAUUCGAUGCAACGCGAAGAACCUUACCAAGACUUGACAUCCUGCGAAUCCUGGUGAAAGCUGGGAGUGCCUUAGGGAGCGCAGAGACAGGUGGUGCAUGGCUGUCGUCAGCUCGUGUCGUGAGAUGUUGGGUUAAGUCCCGCAACGAGCGCAACCCUCGUUUUUAGUUGCCAGCAUUAAGUUGGGCACUCUAGAGAGACUGCCGGUGACAAACCGGAGGAAGGUGAGGAUGACGUCAAGUCAGCAUGCCCCUUACGUCUUGGGCUACACACGUACUACAAUGCUACGGACAGAGGGCAGCGAGCCAGGGAUGGCAAGCGAAUCCAGAAACCGUAGCUCAGUUCAGAUCGAAGGCUGCAACUCGCCUUCGUGAAGGAGGAAUCGCUAGUAAUUGCAGGUCAGCAUACUGCAGUGAAUUCGUUCCCGGGCCUUGUACACACCGCCCGUCACACCAUGGAAGUUGGUCACGCCCGAAGUCAUUACCCCAACCGAAAGGAGGGGGAUGCCUAAGGUAGGACUGGUGACUGGGGUGAAGUCGUAACAAGGUAGCCGUA